This is a non-coding RNA of Gossypium arboreum, 158 nucleotides long. NCBI's taxonomy places the organism in Eukaryota, Viridiplantae, Streptophyta, Magnoliopsida, Malvales, Malvaceae. The record is from Rfam.
CACUGCUUAUUGCUCUUACCAAUUGAAUGGUCUGGCGAAGUGUUUGGAGAGCAACGAUGUGGGCGGUUUGUUGCCAGUGACGUCACGAGAAGUCUAUUGAACCUUAUCAAUUAAAGGAAUGAGAAAUAACAAGGUUUCUAUAGGUGUACUUACGGAAG